AGAGUUUGAUCCUGGCUCAGGAUGAACGCCAGCGGCAGGCUUAAUACAUGCAAGUCGUGGGGCAGCGCAGUGUAGCAAUACAUGGGCGGCGACCGGCAAACGGGUGCGCAAUACGUACGCAACCUUCCUUCGAGCGGGGAAUAGCCCAGGGAAACUUGGAUUAAUACCCCAUAAUAUAACGAAAAGGCAUCUUUUUGUUAUUAAAGCUCCGGCACUUGAAGAUGGGCGUACGGCUGAUUAGGUAGUUGGCGGGGUAAAGGCCCACCAAGCCUGCGAUCAGUAGCUGAUGUGAGAGCAUGAUCAGCCACACGGGCACUGAGACACGGGCCCGACUCCUACGGGAGGCAGCAGUAAGGAAUAUUGGUCAAUGGACGCAAGUCUGAACCAGCCAUGCCGCGUGGAGGAUGACGGUCCUCUGGAUUGUAAACUUCUUUUAUCUGGGACGAAACACUCCUAUUCUUAGGGGCCUGACGGUACCAGAG
This 482-nucleotide ribosomal RNA is filed under the name uncultured bacterium. RNAcentral describes it as "bacterial SSU rRNA". It matches the Rfam family "Bacterial small subunit ribosomal RNA", at positions 8 to 483 of the family's 1533-position model. The record is from RNAcentral.